GACAGCUCCAGGUUGUAAUUGUUCUGCCUAAGGAUUUCCUUGUUCAGAUCAAUCUGCCUAAAGCCCAUUUCCUCCAGCUCCCUCAGCAGCUUCUCUUCAUUGUGACCAUCUAUGUCAAAAGGCUCAGGUGCUGCGGCGCUGGCUGCAGGUGGAGGCACAGGCACAGAAGCAGGGGCAGGGGCAGAUGCAGGUGCGGAUGCAGGGGCAGGCAUAGAAACAGGCACAGUUGUAGGCAGGAUAGGCACAUUAACAGGUGAAGGUCCAACCGGGGCAAGCAGCUCAGGUGCAGGUGCAGGCACACUAACAGAAGGCACAAAAGCAGCAGCAGUGGCACUGGACAUGGGAACAUCAACGACAAGGUUUGCAGGAGCUGCUGCAGGCAUAGAGGUAGCAACUACUAGAGCAGGCUGAGAUUUCUUGGGCUCUGGAACAUCACUCGGAUAGAAGUGGAACUCUUUAGUGCGUUUGGCAUGUGCACUAAGGGCUGGGUCAACAGGCUCAAUGUUCACAUCAAUUAGGCUAGUUGUGUUUGCACUACUGCCUUCUGGUGGCAGAUUCAGAUUAAUAGCAGUGUUCCUGUUAUUGUCAUUAACAAAGGAAGGAUCUUCCACCUACAG
This 617-nucleotide long non-coding RNA is filed under the name Setaria italica (foxtail millet). RNAcentral's name for it is "long non-coding RNA (SITA_LNC000532)". Lineage: Eukaryota; Viridiplantae; Streptophyta; Magnoliopsida; Poales; Poaceae. The record is from RNAcentral.